AUCUUGUCACGAAAUUAAAUUUAAGAUGCAUAUUAAAUAUUUUUUUCAUGAAUAAAAUUUGACGAUGUAUAGAAAAUAACUAAAAUUUAAAAAAAAUAAAGAAGAAGAAGAAGAAGAAGAAAAAUAGUGGAAAAUUGAUGGAAGAAGAAAGAGAAAAAAAUGAAGAAAAAAAACUCUCUUUUUGUAUACUCCCUCCGUCCCACUUACGAUGGCACAAUAAAAAUGGG
RNAcentral lists this long non-coding RNA (227 nucleotides) under Salvia miltiorrhiza (redroot sage). Its description in RNAcentral is "long non-coding RNA (SMIL_LNC003670)". The record is from RNAcentral. Lineage: Eukaryota; Viridiplantae; Streptophyta; Magnoliopsida; Lamiales; Lamiaceae.